RNAcentral lists this long non-coding RNA (1880 nucleotides) under Prunus persica (peach). Its description in RNAcentral is "long non-coding RNA (PPER_LNC003545)". The record is from RNAcentral. Lineage: Eukaryota; Viridiplantae; Streptophyta; Magnoliopsida; Rosales; Rosaceae.
AAGAAUGUAAGAAUAUUUUUUAAUAAUAUUGUAUGGCCCAUAUUAUAUGUGUUAACAUAGGUUGAUUCGCACACUAGCAUCUCCAAGUUCCCAUCUAAUGACAUGGCUCACCUCACCUGCUCUAGUCAAGUCCCACUAAUCAAGGGAGGAGCCAUGCCUGCUCCGGUCAAGUCCCACCAAUUAAGGAAUUGCACAUGAUCCACCAAUCAAGGUAGAAGCUAGAUCUUGCCCACUCUCCUACAUAAGCAGACCCCUCGAAUCAAGGAGGAGACCAUACCUCCUUGUUUGAUGGGAAGGGGUUGAGGGCGAUCAGAAGAAAGGGCCUGGCUACCAUCUUCUCCAGAGCUCUUAUUCUCUUCUCCGGAAAGCUCCCACUCCCCUCUCUAUGUAAUCUGCAUAUCUCCCUGUUUGGGGGUGGUCAAAAUUCACCCAAUUUGCCAAGGAAGAAUUCCUAGCAGCCGAAGAAUUCCUAACGGCUAAGAAUUCUUAACGGUCGAAGAAUUUCUUGCGGUGUAGAAUUUCUAGCGGCCUAAUUCCUAACGGUCGAAGAAUUGCUAGCGGCCGAGAAUUCCUAGCGGCUAAAGAAUUCCUAGCAACUGAGAAUUCCUAACGGCAGAAUUCCUAACGGCCGAAGAAUUCUUAGUUGCCGAGAAUUCCUAGUGGCGCAAUUCCUAGCGGCCGAGAAUUCCUAAAGGCUGAGAAUUCCUAGUGGUUGAAGAAUUCCUAGCCGUCGAGGUGCUUUCUCAAAAAGGCGGUCGAGGUCUUUUCUUCAAAGGCCGUGGUGCCUUCUGAAAAAUGCGACCGAGGUGUUUUCUUCAAAGGCCAUGGCGCCUUCUCAAAAAUGCGGCAAAUGUGUUUUCUUCAAAGGCCGUGGUGCCUUCUAAAAAUUAUGGUUGGGCGCUCCCUUUUGAAAAAAUGACCGAGCGCUUCCGUUUGCAAAGGUGGUCGGGCGUAUCCUUGCAAAAGUGGUUGUGCGUAUCCCUGUAAAAUUGACCGAAUGCUUCCUUUUGAAAAAGUGGCCGGGCAUUUCUCAAAAAGUUGGGCUGGGCACUCUUUAAAUACCUUGGUUGGCCACCCCUCAUACAAAAACUGGGUCAGGGCGAAUUUUCUCCUUGCGCACCUUGGUGCCCUCCUCGGAACACUUGGCUAAGCAAAGUUGGCCCGAAGGAAUUGAAGUUCGGCGGAAGGUAUUUUCGCCAAGGGAGUUGAAGUUCGGUGAGAGGUAUGUCCGCUGAGUUCCCAAUAUUCGAAUAUUUUGAGAACUCAAAGAUAGUCCAACGUGGGGCUAAGCCCAACAUCCAAAUAAUUGGAGUUCCCAUAGCACCCAUCUUGGCAGAUGGUUAGCCAACUCUAGAAUUUUAAAAACUCAAAGGGCACGAGGUUCCACCAGAGGUUAGUGUGCACAUGAUGGAGGCUUGACAAGGAAAGAAAUCAAAGGAGGUUGAUGACGAUUCAAAAUAUUUCAAAACGAGAGAAACUCAAGCAACCAUAAUAUCUCCGCCGACAAGAUCAAUGGAUUUUGGGGGCUUCAAAAGGAAAGAGUUUUAAAAGAGUUGACAUUUGGUCAUUCAAUGGCCAACCCAUUGGCUAACGGAUGCCUUACAUAAACUUCACUGAACGAAGGCAGAAGACACACAAACUUCUUUUUCGUCUCGCACUUUUCUUUUCUUAGACUUAGGAUUUUACUUUUCAAGCACCUAGUGUUGCCAGUUCUUUAUUUCCUUAGUGUAAGUUAAAAUUCUUGCAAUUUACAUUCCCUUGUCAUUUAAAUUCAAGUUUAUUUCAAUCGCUUAACUUUCAUUGCCAUCGCACUUUUAUUAAGUUUAAAUUCAAGUUUAAUUUAGUUUAUCGCUCUUAUUUCUUUCUUGUUUAUUUAUCAC